RNAcentral lists this ribosomal RNA (449 nucleotides) under uncultured bacterium. RNAcentral describes it as "bacterial SSU rRNA". It matches the Rfam family "Bacterial small subunit ribosomal RNA", at positions 329 to 793 of the family's 1533-position model. The record is from RNAcentral.
UCCCAGACUCCUACGGGAGGCAGCAGUGGGGAAUAUUGCACAAUGGGGGGAACCCUGAUGCAGCAACGCCGCGUGGGUGAAGAAGUAUUUCGGUAUGUAAAGCCCUAUCAGCAGGGAAGAGAAUGACGGUACCUGACUAAGAAGCCCCGGCUAACUACGUGCCAGCAGCCGCGGUAAUACGUAGGGGGCAAGCGUUAUCCGGAUUUACUGGGUGUAAAGGGAGCGUAGACGGUUGCGCAAGUCUGAAGUGAAAGCCCGCGGCUCAACUGCGGAACGGCUUUGGAAACUGUGUAACUGGAGUGCUGGAGAGGUAAGCGGAAUUCCUGGUGUAGCGGUGAAAUGCGUAGAGAUCAGGAGGAACACCGGCGGCGAAGGCGGCUUACUGGACAGUAACUGACGUUGAGGCUCGAAAGCGUGGGGAGCAAACAGGAUUAGAUACCCGGGUAUAA